This 369-nucleotide long non-coding RNA is filed under the name Aotus nancymaae (Ma's night monkey). Its description in RNAcentral is "lncRNA (ENSANAG00000039200.1)". Lineage: Eukaryota; Metazoa; Chordata; Mammalia; Primates; Aotidae. The record is from RNAcentral.
GAUUCUGCGAUCCUUCUGCAAUGACGCCAGGACUCCCUGGAAUGGGAGUAUCUUCUACUUGCCAGGCACAAGGAGUAGAGACAACAUUCUCAGCAAAGAAGCUAGCGAGUGCCUCUCUGCACAGGGACAGAAGAACUGGAAGAGAUGGCACUCACCACACUGGCUCUCAGCAGCCACGUCCACGUUAUGAGAGCUGCCAGGCUAGCCCGUUAUCACUUGCACACGUGUCAGGACAUCCUACGUGGUAGUAUUAAUUUUGCUCUGAACACAGGACUAGCAAGCCUCUCACCGCUGCUCAGCUGAACUCCACGUGGGAGCAGCCCACGAUGCCCCCGGAAGGCAUCACUCACCAUGGCCUGAAUGUGAGGG